This 263-nucleotide ribosomal RNA is filed under the name uncultured archaeon. RNAcentral describes it as "partial 16S ribosomal RNA". It matches the Rfam family "Archaeal small subunit ribosomal RNA", at positions 715 to 982 of the family's 1478-position model. The record is from RNAcentral.
AGACGUCUACAUUAGAUACCCCUGUAGUCCAGCCGUAAACUAUGCGCGUUAGGUGUAUCGGUGACCACGAGUUACCGAGGUGCCGAAGGGAAACCGUGAAGCGAGCCACCUGGGAAGUACGGCCGCAAGGCUGAAACUUAAAGGAAUUGGCGGGGAGCACCACAACGGGUGGAGCCUGCGGUUUAAUUGGACUCAACGCCGGGAAGCUCACCGGAUAAGACAGCGGAAUGAUUGCCGGGCUGAAGACUCUGCAUGACUAGCUG